CGGCGGACGGGUGAGUGACGCGUGGGUAACCUGCCUCAUACAGGGGGAUAACAGUUGGAAACGGCUGCUAAUACCGCAUAAGCGCACAGUACCGCAUGGUACCGUGUGAAAAACUCCGGUGGUAUGAGAUGGACCCGCGUCUGAUUAGCUAGUUGGUGGGGUAACGGCCUACCAAGGCGACGAUCAGUAGCCGACCUGAGAGGGUGACCGGCCACAUUGGGACUGAGACACGGCCCAA
Molecule: ribosomal RNA, 238 nt
Filed under: uncultured bacterium
Lineage: Bacteria
Description: partial 16S ribosomal RNA
Rfam family: Bacterial small subunit ribosomal RNA
Source: RNAcentral